GAUUAAGUUAUUAAGGGCGCACGGUGGAUGCCUUGGCACUAGAAGCCGAUGAAGGACGUUACUAACGACGAUAUGCUUUGGGGAGCUGUAAGUAAGCUUUGAUCCAGAGAUUUCCGAAUGGGGAAACCCAGCAUGAGUUAUGUCAUGUUAUCGAUAUGUGAAUACAUAGCAUAUCAGAAGGCACACCCGGAGAACUGAAACAUCUUAGUACCCGGAGGAAGAGAAAGAAAAUUCGAUUCCCUUAGUAGCGGCGAGCGAAACGGGAAGAGCCCAAACCAACAAGCUUGCUUGUUGGGGUUGUAGGACACUCUAUACGGAGUUACAAAGGACGACAUUAGACGAAUCAUCUGGAAAGAUGAAUCAAAGAAGGUAAUAAUCCUGUAGUCGAAAAUGUUGUCUCUCUUGAGUGGAUCCUGAGUACGACGGAGCACGUGAAAUUCCGUCGGAAUCUGGGAGGACCAUCUCCUAAGGCUAAAUACUCUCUAGUGACCGAUAGUGAACCAGUACCGUGAGGGAAAGGUGAAAAGCACCCCGGAAGGGGAGUGAAAUAGAACCUGAAACCGUGUGCUUACAAGUAGUCAGAGCCCGUUAAUGGGUGAUGGCGUGCCUUUUGUAGAAUGAACCGGCGAGUUACGAUUUGAUGCAAGGUUAAGCAGUAAAUGUGGAGCCGUAGCGAAAGCGAGUCUGAAUAGGGCGUUUAGUAUUUGGUCGUAGACCCGAAACCAGGUGAUCUACCCUUGGUCAGGUUGAAGUUCAGGUAACACUGAAUGGAGGACCGAACCGACUUACGUUGAAAAGUGAGCGGAUGAACUGAGGGUAGCGGAGAAAUUCCAAUCGAACCUGGAGAUAGCUGGUUCUCUCCGAAAUAGCUUUAGGGCUAGCCUCAAGUGAUGAUUAUUGGAGGUAGAGCACUGUUUGGACGAGGGGCCCCUCUCGGGUUACCGAAUUCAGACAAACUCCGAAUGCCAAUUAAUUUAACUUGGGAGUCAGAACAUGGGUGAUAAGGUCCGUGUUCGAAAGGGAAACAGCCCAGACCACCAGCUAAGGUCCCAAAAUAUAUGUUAAGUGGAAAAGGAUGUGGCGUUGCCCAGACAACUAGGAUGUUGGCUUAGAAGCAGCCAUCAUUUAAAGAGUGCGUAAUAGCUCACUAGUCGAGUGACACUGCGCCGAAAAUGUACCGGGGCUAA
This 1187-nucleotide ribosomal RNA is filed under the name Staphylococcus aureus. Its description in RNAcentral is "partial 23S ribosomal RNA". It matches the Rfam family "Bacterial large subunit ribosomal RNA", at positions 1 to 1184 of the family's 2925-position model. The record is from RNAcentral. Lineage: Bacteria; Bacillati; Bacillota; Bacilli; Caryophanales; Staphylococcaceae.